GAUGAACGCUGGCGGCGUGCCUAACACAUGCAAGUCGAGCGAAAGGACGGGUAGCUUGCCUGUCUGAUGAUAGAGGCGGAAGGGUGAUUCCUACGAGGUUAACACACCUUUUGGAAUGGGAUAAUUAUGCGAAAUCUGAUCUUAUACCGGAAAAUAUUUUGAACCAAAGGGAUCUACAGUGUAAGACGGCUUUGCUGCCCCUUAGAGAUGUAUCCUCGUUGCAGUAGAUAGUUGGUAAGGUGACGGCUUACCAAGGCAAGGAUGCGUAGCCGAACUGAGAGGAUGAUCGGCCACACUGGAACUGAGACACGGUCCAGACUCCUACGGGAGGCAGCAGUAGGGAAUCGUGCGCAAUGGGCGAAAGCCUGACGGAGCUACGCCGCGUGAGUGAUGAAGGUCUUCGGAUUGUAAAACUCUGUUAUUCGGAAUGAACAGAUGUGUAUGUAGCUAUGCACAUCUUGACGGUACCUACAGAAGAAGCCACGGCUAACUACGUG
RNAcentral lists this ribosomal RNA (497 nucleotides) under uncultured bacterium. RNAcentral's name for it is "partial 16S ribosomal RNA". It matches the Rfam family "Bacterial small subunit ribosomal RNA", at positions 28 to 507 of the family's 1533-position model. The record is from RNAcentral.